Molecule: ribosomal RNA, 765 nt
Filed under: Bacillus sp. Y456
Lineage: Bacteria; Bacillati; Bacillota; Bacilli; Caryophanales; Bacillaceae
Description: bacterial SSU rRNA
Rfam family: Bacterial small subunit ribosomal RNA
Source: RNAcentral
UGCAGUCGAGCGGACAGAAGGGAGCUUGCUCCCGGAUGUUAGCGGCGGACGGGUGAGUAACACGUGGGUAACCUGCCUGUAAGACUGGGAUAACUCCGGGAAACCGGAGCUAAUACCGGAUAGUUCCUUGAACCGCAUGGUUCAAGGAUGAAAGACGGUUUCGGCUGUCACUUACAGAUGGACCCGCGGCGCAUUAGCUAGUUGGUGAGGUAACGGCUCACCAAGGCGACGAUGCGUAGCCGACCUGAGAGGGUGAUCGGCCACACUGGGACUGAGACACGGCCCAGACUCCUACGGGAGGCAGCAGUAGGGAAUCUUCCGCAAUGGACGAAAGUCUGACGGAGCAACGCCGCGUGAGUGAUGAAGGUUUUCGGAUCGUAAAGCUCUGUUGUUAGGGAAGAACAAGUGCAAGAGUAACUGCUUGCACCUUGACGGUACCUAACCAGAAAGCCACGGCUAACUACGUGCCAGCAGCCGCGGUAAUACGUAGGUGGCAAGCGUUGUCCGGAAUUAUUGGGCGUAAAGGGCUCGCAGGCGGUUUCUUAAGUCUGAUGUGAAAGCCCCCGGCUCAACCGGGGAGGGUCAUUGGAAACUGGGAAACUUGAGUGCAGAAGAGGAGAGUGGAAUUCCACGUGUAGCGGUGAAAUGCGUAGAGAUGUGGAGGAACACCAGUGGCGAAGGCGACUCUCUGGUCUGUAACUGACGCUGAGGAGCGAAAGCGUGGGGAGCGAACAGGAUUAGAUACCCUGGUAGUCCACGCCGUAA